Molecule: long non-coding RNA, 646 nt
Filed under: Heterocephalus glaber (naked mole-rat)
Lineage: Eukaryota; Metazoa; Chordata; Mammalia; Rodentia; Bathyergidae
Description: lncRNA (ENSHGLG00000033817.1)
Source: RNAcentral
CACAACCCCAAAACAUUGGAGCCAGGCGACUGGGACUGGAACCUCUGAGACCUAGCAAAAAGAUAAACCUUUCCUCUGUCUAAGUCAAUAGCUUAAUUAUUUUGUCAUAGUGUCAGGAAGCUAACACAGCAGGUUUAUAUAUAAAAUGCAGAAUGCUGAUGGGUUGUUUAUUGUCCCUGGGAAUUGUGUAGCCCUGGGGUAGGGCACCCUCCAGGGUUGGAUGUCAAAGUUUCCUAAAAUACAGAAAAUGAAAAAGGCAAAGUGAAUAUACCUUUGGAGUAGAAAGAGCUUCUCAAAAAGAUGGGCACACAGAACAGUUCUCAGCAAAUUUGAGAGAAAGGAACACAGAUUUCCCAUCAUUUCUUGCCUCUUGCCAGUAUCUCCUACUGAAGGGGAACAGUUGUCACAGAAGAUGAACCUAUGUGAUGUGGCAUCUUCAUCCAGCAUCCACAGGCGACAUCGGGCCCACACUUCGUGUCUGACCCUGUGGACUGAUGACAUGUGUCCACUGUUGUGGUGUUGUGCCGAGGAGUUUCACUGCCUGGAAAGUCCCCUGUGCUCCACCUGGUCAUCCUCCCUCCUCGCUCUGUAACCACCCAUUAUUUUACCUUUUCCAGAACGUUGUAUGAUUGUAACCAUACAGAAU